GCAUAUCAAUAAGCGGAGGAAAAGAAACCAACAGGGAUUGCCCUAGUAACGGCGAGUGAAGCGGCAACAGCUCAAAUUUGAAAUCUGGCGCAAGCCCGAGUUGUAAUUUGUAGAGGAUGCUUCUAGGUAGCGACCGGUCUAAGUUCCUUGGAACAGGACGUCAUAGAGGGUGAGAAUCCCGUAUGUGACCGGCCCGCACCUUCUACGUAGCUCCUUCGAAGAGUCGAGUUGUUUGGGAAUGCAGCUCUAAAUGGGAGGUAAAUUUCUUCUAAAGCUAAAUACCGGCCAGAGACCGAUAGCGCACAAGUAGAGUGAUCGAAAGAUGAAAAGCACUUUGGAAAGAGAGUUAAAAAGCACGUGAAAUUGUUGAAAGGGAAGCGCUUACAACCAGACUUCUGGGCGGUGUUCCGCCGGUCUUUUGACCGGUCUACUCUCCGUCCCGAGGCCAACAUCAUCUGGGACCGCUGGAUAAGACCUUAGGAAUGUAGCUCCCCUCGGGGAGUGUUAUAGCCUCUGGUGAUGCAGCGCGUCCCGGGUGAGGUCCGCGCUUCGGCAAGGAUGUUGGCGUAAUGGUUGUCAGCGGCCCGUCUUGAAACACGGACCAAGGAGUCUAACAUCUAUGCGAGUGUUCGGGUGUCAAACCCCUACGCGUAAUGAAAGUGAACGGAGGUGGGAAGCGCAAGCUGCACCAUCGACCGAUCCUGAUGUCCUCGGAUGGAUUUGAGUAAGAGCAUAGCUGUUGGGACCCGAAAGAUGGUGAACUAUGCCUGAAUAGGGUGAAGCCAGAGGAAACUCUGGUGGAGGCUCGCAGCGGUUCUGACGUGCAAAUCGAUCGUCAAAUUUGGGUAUAGGGGCGAAAGACUAAUCGAACCAUCUAGUAGCUGGUUCCUGCCGAG
This 896-nucleotide ribosomal RNA is filed under the name Ramularia collo-cygni. Its description in RNAcentral is "LSU rRNA". It matches the Rfam family "Eukaryotic large subunit ribosomal RNA", at positions 38 to 965 of the family's 3401-position model. The record is from RNAcentral. Lineage: Eukaryota; Fungi; Ascomycota; Dothideomycetes; Mycosphaerellales; Mycosphaerellaceae.